UGGGGAAUAUUGGACAAUGGGCGCAAGCCUGAUCCAGCCAUGCCGCGUGAGUGAUGAAGGCCUUAGGGUUGUAAAGCUCUUUCGUCCGGGACGAUAAUGACGGUACCGGAAGAAGAAGCCCCGGCUAACUUCGUGCCAGCAGCCGCGGUAAUACGAAGGGGGCUAGCGUUGUUCGGAAUCACUGGGCGUAAAGGGCGCGUAGGCGGCCAAUCAAGUCGGGGGUGAAAGCCUGUGGCUUAACCACAGAAUUGCCUUCGAUACUGUUUGGCUUGAGACCGGAAGAGGUAAGUGGAACUGCGAGUGUAGAGGUGAAAUUCGUAGAUAUUCGCAAGAACACCAGUGGCGAAGGCGGCUUACUGGUCCGGUUCUGACGCUGAGGCGCGAAAGCGUGGGGAGCAAACAGGAUUAGAUACCCUGGUA
Molecule: ribosomal RNA, 420 nt
Filed under: uncultured bacterium
Lineage: Bacteria
Description: bacterial SSU rRNA
Rfam family: Bacterial small subunit ribosomal RNA
Source: RNAcentral